RNAcentral lists this long non-coding RNA (4141 nucleotides) under Marmota monax (woodchuck). Lineage: Eukaryota; Metazoa; Chordata; Mammalia; Rodentia; Sciuridae. The record is from RNAcentral.
GCAUGUNCACAGCCCCAUCAACCCUUUCACUGGGGAAACUAAAGCCCAGUUGGCCUUGUUCAUGAACCCUGACCUUCUGUCCCCAGGACAGCAGUGAUACAGGACAUAGAGAGAGGAAACAGAGGCUGUGAAGGCAGCAGGGAUACAGGUAAGUGACACUCUUGGAUCUGUGUGGGUCUGGCUGCAGAGCCUGUCCUCUUGGCCAUUUACCAUCACUUGUAUGGCCAUGUUUGUGCAUGAGUGGCUACAUCUAUGUGCCUUCAGUGAGGAUGAUCCAGCACACAGCCUGGCACAGAAUAAGAGCUCAAUAGCUCAAACAAAUUAUAAACAAGGAAACAGGUUCAAGUGUCAGGCUAGGGAUGUAGCUCAGUAGUAGAGCAAUAUGUGUGAGAUCCUGUGAUGGAUCUCCAGCAUGGGAUUAAAAGAAAGUGUCAAGUGUCUUGUCACUUCUGAAGCUUAUAGCCAAGUGGUGGUGGUGGUGGGGCAAGCACUCAAAUGAUCACAAAAAUAACCAACGAUAAUUAUUAAUAAUUAUAACUAUGACAAGGUUCAGAAGGGUAGUGGAUAUUUCCCCAAGGAAGAUGAAGUGACAUGUGAAGGAAGAACAGAUGUGAAUGAUCAUAGCUAACAUGUACUGAGUACUCAGUAUGUGCCAGGCACUGAUCUAAACACAUAUCAUUAUGUACACUUAUUCUCACAGUGCCUAUGACAGAAGUGCCAUUAUUAUCCUCUUCAGGGACAACCCCUCAGGCACAAGAAAUAUAAGUAAACUGCUUAAAGGUACUCAGCUAUUAAGCAGCAAGGUCAGAAUUUAAACCUAACCCCCAGCAUCUGAUUCAGUUUGUUCUUUAGAUUAUUAUGCUGUGCUGUCUCCCACAAAUUAACCAGGUAGGUGAAGGUCCUGGGGUAGGGCAAUGACACCUAAGUAGAGGGAGCUAUACAUGUUAGAGCAUCAGAAGAAGCUGGAGAGGCGGUCCAAUACCAUGCUGAGGAUCUGGGUCUUUACCUGAAAAGCAAAAGGAUACUCUGAAGAGUUGUAGGCAGGGGAGUGGCAUGAAUCAGAUUUGUGGUUCUUUCAGAUCACCCAACUACUGCUUAGAGAAUGGGUUCUAUGGGGACCUGAGUGGCUUGGCAGUUGUGGAAAGAGAGAAGUGAACAGAUCAGAGAGAUUCUGAUGAGAGCUGGAUAUAAAGGUGGGAAAGAAAGACAGGCAAAGGAAACUGAGCAGCUGGUGGCACCAUUUAUUGCGGUAGCAAUGCAAAGCAAGAACCUGGUUUAGUUUGGAAGUGAGGCUUUGGCCUUAGUUAGGUGCCCAAAAGAUUUCAUGUGGAGAUGCCUAGCAUAUGGUAGUCAAGUCUGGCACUCAGGAGAGAGAGGUCUGUGCAGGAGGUAGAGAUUAGGAGUCACUGGCAGAUGGCAGAGACUGAAAUCACAAGAGAGCAUGGGAGCAUGAAGAGAAGGCAAAUGGGCCCAGGCACCACCUGCAUCCUGAGAAGGGUCACGGGAACCCAUGUGGGAGUGUAAGCACACGGGCUUGGUAAGCUGUCACUGAUUCUAGACUCUAUGCUUAGUACCAGUGUCUCAUCCUGGCACCAGGAUGGCUACCGUAUGGGCGUGGAUGGGCUGCUAGUGACAGACACACAGCCUGAGCACAGUGGAAACUAUGGCUGCUAUGCAGAGGAGAAUGGCCUCCGUACUCUGCUGGCUUCCUACAGCUUCACAGUCCGGCCUGCCACUCCUGCCAUUUCCAAUGCCCUCCUGGGAUGAGUAGGUAAUGACUUUUCCACCCUCCUUCCCAGGGCCACCACCACCACUGAAGACCCGUUCUGUGCUCCGGGGUGAUGAUGUCCUUCUGCCUUGUGACCAGCCAUCCAACCUGGCCCGUGCUUUGUGGCUACUCAAUGGGAGCAAAGGCCUAAGUGAUGGGCAGGAUGGCUACCGUGUGGGCGUGGAUGGGCUGCUAGUGACAGACACACAGCCUGAGCACAGUGGAAACUAUAGCUGCUAUGCAGAGGAGAAUGACCUCCGUACCCUGCUGGCUUCCUACAGCCUCACAGUCCGGCCUGCCACUCCUGCCCCAGCUCCACAAGCCCCUGCCAUGCCUGGGGCACAGCUGGCACCAGACGUGAGGCUGCUCUAUGUGCUAGCCAUUGCUGCACUUGGUGGCCUCUGCCUCAUCCUGGCCUCCUCCCUCCUCUAUGUUGCUUGUCUUCGGGGAGACAGACGAGGACGCAGACGGAAAUACUCACUGGGUCGGGCUAGCCGGGUAGGGGGCUCUGCUGUGCAGUUGCAGACAGUCUCAGGCCAAUGUCCUGGAGAGGAAGAUGAGGGUGAUGAUGGGGAGGGGGCUGGGGGCUUGGAGGGCAGCUGCCUCCAGAUCAUCCCUGGGGAGGGUGCCCCAGCUCCACCGCCCCCACCACCUCCACCACCACCGACUGAGCUGACCAAUGGGCUGGUGGCACUACCCAGCCGGCUGCGGAGGAUGAAUGGCAACAGUUAUGUGCUCCUGAGGCAGAGCAACAAUGGAAUGCCAGCAGGGCCCUGCUCCUUUGCUGAGGAACUCAGCCGCAUCUUGGAGAAGAGGAAGCACACGCAGCUCGUGGAACAGCUAGAUGAGAGCUCUGUUUGAGCCCAGCCUCCGGAACAAAUUCUCUUCCAAGCCAGCCUGUGUGCCCCAGGCUGGGCUGCUGCCUCCCCAACAUAGCCACUCUCCUUCACACCCCCUACUCCAUGCCCUUCUCCCACCUUUUUGAUGUCUCUGUAGGGCUGGCCAGUCAGGCCCAGCCUAAGCCCCUUUCUCAGUCUCCAAGACCUAUGUGUGAGCAGCCCAGGCCAACCGGUGCUCCUCAGAGGUAGGUGCUCCCUGGGGACCAGGUGCUCUGCUGAUCCAGACACAGUUCCUAUUCCCUUAACCUAAAUGCUUGGGAGGAGAGUACUUACUCCAUCCUCUGCUUCCAUUAUCUGCCCAACCUUUCCUUUCUCCCAGGUAGGGCUCUGCAGAUCCAGAUGGCCUCAAUGUCACCACCCUCUGCAUGGCCCUGUUUGGUAGAUCAUCCUGAAGCCAGAUAAGACCUCUGCUAGCCACCUGAGCCCUGCAUACAUUCACAUGUGCUCAUGGAAGAAUGUUCAUCAGCUGGGCUGCAGUGCCCCACCCCACCCUACCCUCUCCUGCUACAUUCUUGUGUUUCAUCUCUUCUUCUGGAUUUGGGGUACCCUUCCAAUUGUCACAUCCCUGUCUAGUUAUCUUCCCCAGUCCCCCCUCCCCGCCCCCACAAUGUGUUGAUGCCAUUGGCAAGAGCUUGGGAUCAGGCCAGCCUGGGAGGUAAGACUGCAUCAUUCCCCUCUUCUGCCUUCCUGUGCAGCCCUUGUGAGUCUGCCUCCCCACUCCCCUUGGUCACACCGAAGAGCAACAGAGCUCUAGGCAUGUCCUUUCCCUAUGCAUAUGUGGUAACACACCCACAUCACAUGUGCUUACAUUUCCACCCACAUGCACCUCUGAGCCUCCCCUUGCUGCCUUGGACCUGUGUCUGUCAGGUUUGGUCCAUGGACAUUUCAAAGGGAGAUCCCCCUCCCAUUUAGCUGUCUUUGCCGACCCUUCCCUAGGACGGGUGACCAACACUGCACUCAAUGAGCCAGCUUCCCUUUUGGGGACCAAGCAUUUUCUCCCCCUCAGCCACAGCAGGGAGAGAAGAGGACUGAUGUCUCACCUGGCACACUAAGCCCGUUCUUGGAACUAUGCAAAGGGCAGAGGCUGGGAGUUUGGAUGCUUGGCUCCCACCCCUGUCCUACCUCACCGGGACACUUUCAGAGUCCAGGGGCCUCUGAAGUCUUCAGGCCCAUAUGGGACAAUCAAUUCUGAGCUCCCCCAUUCCCAUUGGGUGAGGAUGACUGUUAUUUUUGUAGCUGAGAACGUGGAAUCCCACGGGUUUUUACUGCCCUUCACCCAACCUCUCCCACCUCCACCCCACAAUGAAUGUAUUUAUUGUGAGAACGGCUGCAGUUCUUUAGGAAUGUCCCCACUCAUCCCCAGGUGGGUGGAAUAGGCAUGUGAGAGUGGGGAGCCUGGGCUCAGCUCCUCCCCCAAUGCUGGUUAAUAAAUAUCUUUUUUCCCCACAUCUCUGAGUAGUCUGAUUGACUUGCC